Molecule: long non-coding RNA, 867 nt
Organism: Oryza sativa Japonica Group (Japanese rice)
Lineage: Eukaryota; Viridiplantae; Streptophyta; Magnoliopsida; Poales; Poaceae
Source: RefSeq, a predicted model, not a curated record
AUUUUUUUUAUUUCAAACAGUGCUACCCACUCUCAGCGCCACACCUCGAUGUCGUCAAGGCGAGGGGGCGAAUCCGACGGCGGCGAUUCUCCUCGCCGGCGGGAGGAGGCCAAGAGCACGACUCCUCGGCUGCAGCCGGGCGCAGCCGGCGGGCGCAGUGUGGCGCCCUCCGCUGAGAUGUCAUCGAGGGGAUGGGGUGAAUCUGGCGGCGACGAUUCGCUUCGGCUGCAGGGGGAUUCCAGCUCGCGCAAAAUGGCUAAAAGCCGGCCGGACAACAUCGCUGCAGCCAGGCUCAGCCAGCGAGCAUGUUGCGGCGUCCUCCGCCGCCGCCGUGGAGACAGGCUUGGAGUUCAGCAAGGUUGACGGCGAGGCGCACGCACCCGCUCCCCUGUGCUUGGCAAGGCACCAACAGUUGUUCUGUGUUCAUCAAGCAAGGAUGCGCUGAAUCGCAUUGCAGUUGCUGGUGGUCUUGAUUUGGAUCCAAAAAGGUCAGGCGUCGAGAUCCAAAAAAGCAAGCAAAUAAUCAAUCCGCAAUGGGGGGCAGGGUGAUCAAUGAUGUGUUCAGCUUUUUGACUAGUGACAGAAGUACAUAUAUAUGUAUUCAGAUAUAGGUCCUACAACAUGCUAACAAUUUUAGAUAUCUGUGCACUUAGUUUUGUUAAAAGCUCAGAUAGCAGAGGCACAGAUCUCACAUUCAGAUGUCACUAUGUUUAAUUACUGCUCUUACUCUAGUCAAGAUGCAGGGGCAAGAUUAAAUGUUUCAUACCAAGCAAAUGCAAGUUUUGUUGUGACAUCCUGCAGCAACCUAGUUUAAUGUUUCAUACUAUGUUUAAUUCCUAGUUAUUUUACUAGUUUUAAUUUGUUAGA